AGAGACAGCAGUCGCCGCGGUAAUACGUAGGUCCCGAGCGUUGUCCGGAUUUAUUGGGCGUAAAGGGAGCGCAGGCGGUUUAGUAAGUCUGAAGUUAAAGGCAUUGGCUCAACCAAUGUAUGCUUCGGAAACUGUUAGACUUGAGUGCAGAAGGGGAGAGUGGAAUUCCAUGUGUAGCGGUGAAAUGCGUAGAGAUCGGGAGGAACAUCAGUGGCGAAGGCGGCCAUCUGGGACAACACUGACGCUGAGGCACGAAAGCGUGGGGAGCAAACAGGAUUAGAUACCCGCGUAGUCCCUGUCUCUUAUACC
Molecule: ribosomal RNA, 309 nt
Filed under: uncultured bacterium
Lineage: Bacteria
Description: partial 16S ribosomal RNA
Rfam family: Bacterial small subunit ribosomal RNA
Source: RNAcentral